AGUGAACGCUGGCGGUAGGCCUAACACAUGCAAGUCGAACGGCAGCACAGUAAGAGCUUGCUCUUACGGGUGGCGAGUGGCGGACGGGUGAGGAAUACAUCGGAAUCUACUUUUUCGUGGGGGAUAACGUAGGGAAACUUACGCUAAUACCGCAUACGACCUACGGGUGAAAGCAGGGGAUCUUCGGACCUUGCGCGAUUGAAUGAGCCGAUGUCGGAUUAGCUAGUUGGCGGGGUAAAGGCCCACCAAGGCGACGAUCCGUAGCUGGUCUGAGAGGAUGAUCAGCCACACUGGAACUGAGCCACGGUCCAGACUCCUACGGGAGGCACCAGUGGGGAAUAUGGGACAAUGGGCGCAAGCCUGAUCCAGCCAUACCGCGUGGGUGAAGAAGGCCUUCGGGUUGUAAAGCCCUUUUGUUGGGAAAGAAAAGCAGCAGGUUAAUACCCCGCUGUUCUGACGGUACCCAAAGAAUAAGCACCGGCUAACUUCGUG
Molecule: ribosomal RNA, 492 nt
Filed under: uncultured bacterium
Lineage: Bacteria
Description: partial 16S ribosomal RNA
Rfam family: Bacterial small subunit ribosomal RNA
Source: RNAcentral